CCCCUAGUAGCGGCGAGCGAAGCGGGAAGAGCUCAAAUUUAUAAUCUGGCACCUUCGGUGUCCGAGUUGUAAUCUCUAGAAGUGUUUUCCGCGUUGGACCGCACACAAGUCUGUUGGAAUACAGCGGCAUAGUGGUGAAACCCCCGUAUAUGGUGCGGACGCCCAGCGCUUUGUGAUACACUUUCAAUGAGUCGAGUUGUUUGGGAAUGCAGCUCAAAUUGGGUGGUAAAUUCCAUCUAAAGCUAAAUAUUGGCGAGAGACCGAUAGCGAACAAGUACCGUGAGGGAAAGAUGAAAAGCACUUUGGAAAGAGAGUUAACAGUACGUGAAAUUGUUGGAAGGGAAACGCUUGAAGUCAGACUUGCUUGCCGGAGCUUGCUUCGGUUUGCAGGCCAGCAUCAGUUUUCCGGGGUGGAUAAUGACGGUUUGAAGGUAGCAGUCUCGGCUGUGUUAUAGCUUUCCGUUGGAUACAUCCUGGGGGACUGAGGAACGCAGCGUGC
RNAcentral lists this ribosomal RNA (499 nucleotides) under Rhodotorula glutinis. RNAcentral describes it as "eukaryotic LSU rRNA". It matches the Rfam family "Eukaryotic large subunit ribosomal RNA", at positions 77 to 579 of the family's 3401-position model. The record is from RNAcentral. Lineage: Eukaryota; Fungi; Basidiomycota; Microbotryomycetes; Sporidiobolales; Sporidiobolaceae.